Molecule: microRNA, 23 nt
Filed under: Magallana gigas (Pacific oyster)
Lineage: Eukaryota; Metazoa; Mollusca; Bivalvia; Ostreida; Ostreidae
Description: Mgi-Mir-184-P14_5p* (star (passenger))
Source: RNAcentral
CCUUCUCAUACAUUCGUCACAGU